This 431-nucleotide ribosomal RNA is filed under the name uncultured bacterium. RNAcentral's name for it is "partial 16S ribosomal RNA". It matches the Rfam family "Bacterial small subunit ribosomal RNA", at positions 29 to 507 of the family's 1533-position model. The record is from RNAcentral.
AACGAACGCUGGCGGCAGGCCUAACACAUGCAAGUCGAGCGCCCCGCAAGGGUAGCGGCGGACGGGUGAGUAACGCGUGGGAACGUACCCUUUGCUACGGAAUAGCCUCGGGAAACUGGGAGUAAUACCGUAUGUGUCCUUCGGGAGAAAGGUUUGUCGGCAAGGGAUCGGCCCGCGUUGGAUUAGGUAGUUGGUGGGGUAAUGGCCUACCAAGCCGACUAUCCAUAGCUGGUUUGAGAGGAUGAUCAGCCACACUGGGACUGAGACACGGCCCAGACUCCUACGGGAGGCAGCAGUGGGGAAUCUUAGACAAUGGGCGCAAGCCUGAUCUAGCCAUGCCGCGUGAGCGAUGAAGGCCUUAGGGUUGUAAAGCUCUUUCAGGGGGGAAGAUAAUGACUGUACCCCCAGAAGAAGCCCCGGCUAACUCCGUG